AAAAAGAAGAAAAACAAGCAUGCAGUCUCGGAGCCUCUCAAACUGCUAAGCAGUAGUGGGCAGUUUUCUCCCCCAAAGAUUUCCACGAUCUGAGUUUGGUGGGAAGGUUCAACACUAACCACCUGCAUACCACCAGUAUUUAGAGAUGAGUAAUCGGAAGGAGGCUAAUUUUGGUUUUCAGGAGUUCGCUGUGUGGUUUCAGUUCAUUCCAAACGAAAAAGGAUCGACAAACUCAGUGACAGAAAUUAGUAAAAGAUUUGAGCUUUCGGAACAAUUAUAUGUGCAAAAAUCGAAAACUUUCAUCGGUUUAGGCUCAACUCCAUGAUUCCACAUUUCAAAUCCACUUCUGACCUGCUAACCUUGAUGGAGGGGAGGGGCAGAGGAUGAAGAAAAUUCCGGGCAAAGAGCUUUGACUCCCUGAUUCACUGCGGCAACAACAUACCACCAUCCUCCUUUCGUUCCCAUGUCACCAGAAGCAACAAGAAGAUAUAAAACAAAAUUGGUGUUUUGAAAUUCUGAUUAAUUUUGCUCAAACUGAUUGGUUGCUGACCCAUUAAGGUACCUUAAUAAUUCGCCCCUGUUCUUUGAACAGCCUGUCAUUUUUCUUCAUGGGGUUCUUGAGGAGCAACUUCACCAAGUUUUCAAAGUAAUCAAAGAUUCUUCAAUCCCGAGUUGUACCGAUCAUUCUGUUUGAUCAGGUUGCAGUAUGUUCACCCUUUAUGAUAAGUUAUUAUAUAAAGCUCAAUUUGUUUAUGUUUUGGUAAUUUUGUAGUAGAAAUGCCAGAAAUCGAUAAUGUACUUAGUUCCGUUUCCGGGAAUUAGUUUCGAUAGUUUGAAUGUGUAAGUCGAGUGAAUUAAGGUUGUUGUAAUCUAUUUGUGAGUUUAAGUGAUUCCCCUCAUUUGGUUUUCAUUUCAGUUCGGCUUUAUAGUAAAUGCAAUUCCAGUUCCUAAAGCUCAAAGAGAAGGUCGACAAAGGUACGUUUACAGCUAUAUGUCGUGUUCCUUUUGAGGUUUAUGCGAUUUAUAGUGAUGUAAAUAAAGUUGUUGCGAAGAAGACCUCCCUUACUCUCUGAAACCGUAAACGGAACGAAACGUCAUUACGAUUCUCAUACGACUGGGAUCAUGAAUAUUAUAGAUGGACCCAAUGGAUCUUCCUUCAGCGAUUAAAGAGGGGAUUGGCGUAUCAGGCUGAAGUGCCAGUUAAUUGGUGCCCGCUUUUGGUACUGUAUUGGCAAAUGAAGAAGUGAUAAGAUGGUUUCAGUGACAGUGGGGAUCAGAAAGGUAUUGGAUUGAUUUUGGCAAGUGUAAUUUUUUGUUAACAUUGAUUAGAUUCGGACCUUUGUGUCAAUUGAAGUCAUUGCUGCUCGGUUAGCUGAGACCCAUUUGUCGAGGCACGAACAAAAAGGAAGGGGGGAAACUGUAUUAUUGCCAUAGCUUUUAUGUUGGCAGUGAGCCUUGAAGAAAAGGAAGGGUGAUAACAGUGGAAGAGGUGGCUUUUUGCUUUUGGCCUUUUGUUUUCUUCAUUUUGCUGAAUGUUGAGACUUGAGAAAAGAACUUCUAAUGUUGAAACCUAAUUCAAUGUGAAAACGUACCUAAUCAUGUUAGCAUAUAAAUUUGAUUGUUAUUUUGUUCAAUUUACACCUUUACGUUUC
Malus domestica (apple) is the source of this 1652-nucleotide non-coding RNA. NCBI's taxonomy places the organism in Eukaryota, Viridiplantae, Streptophyta, Magnoliopsida, Rosales, Rosaceae. The record is from RefSeq and is a predicted model, not a curated record.